GAUCCUGGCUCAGGAUGAACGCUGGCGGCGUGCUUAACACAUGCAAGUCGAGCGAAGCACUUAGGAAAGAUUCUUCGGAUGAUUUUCUAUUUGACUGAGCGGCGGACGGGUGAGUAACGCGUGGGUAACCUGCCUCAUACAGGGGGAUAACAGUUAGAAAUGACUGCUAAUACCGCAUAAGACCACAGCACCGCAUGGUGCAGGGUAGUAAAACGUCGGUGGUAUGAGAGUCGGACCCCG
RNAcentral lists this ribosomal RNA (240 nucleotides) under uncultured bacterium. RNAcentral describes it as "partial 16S ribosomal RNA". It matches the Rfam family "Bacterial small subunit ribosomal RNA", at positions 15 to 235 of the family's 1533-position model. The record is from RNAcentral.